CAUGCAAGUCGAGCGGAAGGCCCCUUCGGGGGUACUCGAGCGGCGAACGGGUGAGUAACACGUGAGCAACCUGCCCCUGACUCUGGGAUAAGCCCGGGAAACUGGGUCUAAUACCGGAUGUGACCAGCCUCCGCAUGGAGUGCUGGUGGAAAGUUUUUCGGUUGGGGAUGGGCUCGCGGCCUAUCAGCUUGUUGGUGGGGUGAUGGCCUACCAAGGCGACGACGGGUAACCGGCCUGAGAGGGCGACCGGUCACACUGGGACUGAAACACGGCCCAGACUCCUACGGGAGGCAGCAGUGGGGAAUAUUGCGCAAUGGGCGGAAGCCUGACGCAGCGACGCCGCGUGAGGGAUGACGGCCUUCGGGUUGUAAACCUCUUUCAGCAGGGACGAAGCUAACGUGACGGUACCUGCAGAAGAAGCGCCGGCUAACUACGUGCCAGCAGCCCGGGUAAUUCCA
Molecule: ribosomal RNA, 458 nt
Filed under: Actinomadura sp. XM-7-1
Lineage: Bacteria; Bacillati; Actinomycetota; Actinomycetes; Streptosporangiales; Thermomonosporaceae
Description: bacterial SSU rRNA
Rfam family: Bacterial small subunit ribosomal RNA
Source: RNAcentral